RNAcentral lists this unclassified non-coding RNA (390 nucleotides) under soil metagenome. Its description in RNAcentral is "partial contains 5.8S ribosomal RNA, internal transcribed spacer 2, and large subunit ribosomal RNA". The stretch from base 1 to 121 matches the Rfam family "5.8S ribosomal RNA", at positions 35 to 154 of the family's 154-position model. The record is from RNAcentral.
GAUGAAGAAGUAGCGAAAUGCGAUACUUGGUGUGAAUUGCAGAAUCCCGUGAACCAUCGAGUCUUUGAACGCAAGUUGCGCCCGAAGCCACUAGGCCGAGGGCACGCCUGCCUGGGCGUCACACGCCGUUGCCCCCCCAUCUACUCCUUCGGGAUUGCGGGGGGGCGGAUGAUGGCCUCCUGUGCGCCUAGCCGCGCGGUUGGCAUAAAUACCAAGUCCUCGGCGACGCACGCCACGACAAUCGGUGGUUGCGAAACCUCGGUUGCCCGUCGUGUGCGUUCGUCGCGCAUCGAGGGCUCGAAAAAAUGCUCGGCUCCGGCUGGGCUUUCAACGCGACCCCAGGUCAGGCGGGGUUACCCGCUGAAUUUAAGCAUAUCAAUAAGCGGAGGA